RNAcentral lists this unclassified non-coding RNA (737 nucleotides) under Hevea brasiliensis (rubber tree). The record is from RNAcentral. Lineage: Eukaryota; Viridiplantae; Streptophyta; Magnoliopsida; Malpighiales; Euphorbiaceae.
AUUUACAUCCAACACAUAUAACAAGCAAUUCGCUCAAUACUCGUAGGAGAAGAAAAUUUAGAACUACUCACGCACCUAAUUUAUCACAUCAAUAAAUAAAUAUGGGAGUUGAUCCCAUAUACAGCUCUUUCAAUCCAAAUUUCGCCAGUGAGCUCAACUCAAGCAAGGCUUUUAUUUAAAUCCAAGUGCGGAGACCAAUGAGAUCAACUCAAAGCAAUGCCUUACCCCAAUUUUUCAUAUCCAAAAAGAUCAAGUUUAAGCGAGACUAGCUCAAGCGGUGACUACUCGCCCAAUUCAUAUUCAUCAUAUACCAUAUAUAACACAAACAGCUCCAUAUUAUCAUCAGAACGACAAACACAAGUAAUUAUCAAUAAAUGAAUAUGCAACAAUAAAAAUACUCUUAAUUUAUUUAACCACAUGCCAAAACUAUAAAUAAUAUUAAAAUUACAAAAAUAAUCAAUAUCUAACUCACAGACUAAUCAACUCAAUUGCAACUGGUCUAGCUAAAGAGAAGAAAGGUUAGCUGAUACUAAUCAUUUAUACAAGUACAUUGACUUUUAUCGAUUUACUAAUAGAAUUAACCAAUUAAUUUUAUUAAAGAAGCAAAAAUAUACACACAGAGCUCCAUAUCAAUUUACCCGUCCAAUUUAUAUAUAUUAUAUACCAUAUAUAAAAUAUACAUAGCUCCAUAUUAUCCUCAAGGCGCUAAAUACAAGUAAUUAUCAAUAAAUAAAUAU